GGCUCAGGAUGAACGCUGGCGGCGUGCUUAACACAUGCAAGUCGAACGGUGAACACGGAGCUUGCUCUGUGGGAUCAGUGGCGAACGGGUGAGUAACACGUGAGCAACCUGCCCCUGACUCUGGGAUAAGCGCUGGAAACGGCGUCUAAUACUGGAUACGAGUAGCGAUCGCAUGGUCAGCUACUGGAAAGAUUUUUUGGUUGGGGAUGGGCUCGCGGCCUAUCAGCUUGUUGGUGAGGUAAUGGCUCACCAAGGCGUCGACGGGUAGCCGGCCUGAGAGGGUGACCGGCCACACUGGGACUGAGACACGGCCCAGACUCCUACGGGAGGCAGCAGUGGGGAAUAUUGCACAAUGGGCGGAAGCCUGAUGCAGCAACGCCGCGUGAGGGAUGACGGCCUUCGGGUUGUAAACCUCUUUUAGCAGGGAAGAAGCGAAAGUGACG
This 443-nucleotide ribosomal RNA is filed under the name Microbacterium sp. IGS49. RNAcentral's name for it is "bacterial SSU rRNA". It matches the Rfam family "Bacterial small subunit ribosomal RNA", at positions 21 to 474 of the family's 1533-position model. Lineage: Bacteria; Bacillati; Actinomycetota; Actinomycetes; Micrococcales; Microbacteriaceae. The record is from RNAcentral.